UACGUAGGGUGCGAGCGUUGUCCGGAAUUACUGGGCGUAAAGAGCUCGUAGGUGGUUUGUCGCGUCGUUCGUGAAAACCGGGGGCUUAACCCUCGGCGUGCGGGCGAUACGGGCAGACUUGAGUACUGCAGGGGAGACUGGAAUUCCUGGUGUAGCGGUGGAAUGCGCAGAUAUCAGGAGGAACACCGGUGGCGAAGGCGGGUCUCUGGGCCGAUACUGACGCUGAGGAGCGAAAGCGUGGGGAGCGAACAGG
Molecule: ribosomal RNA, 253 nt
Filed under: uncultured bacterium
Lineage: Bacteria
Description: partial 16S ribosomal RNA
Rfam family: Bacterial small subunit ribosomal RNA
Source: RNAcentral